CAGCAGCCACGGUAAUACGAAGGGGGCUAGCGUUGCUCGGAAUGACUGGGCGUAAAGGGCGCGUAGGCGGCUGACACAGUCAGAUGUGAAAUUCCUGGGCUCAACCUGGGGACUGCAUUUGAGACGUGUUGGCUUGAGUGGAGAAGAGGGUCGUGGAAUUUCCAGUGUAGAGGUGAAAUUCGUAGAUAUUGGGAAGAACACCGGUGGCGAAGGCGGCGACCUGGUCCUUGACUGACGCUGAGGCGCGAAAGCGUGGGGAGCAAACAGGAUUAGAUACCCCGGUAGUCCCUGUCUCUUAUAA
RNAcentral lists this ribosomal RNA (301 nucleotides) under uncultured bacterium. RNAcentral's name for it is "partial 16S ribosomal RNA". It matches the Rfam family "Bacterial small subunit ribosomal RNA", at positions 509 to 809 of the family's 1533-position model. The record is from RNAcentral.